Molecule: long non-coding RNA, 310 nt
Organism: Helianthus annuus (common sunflower)
Lineage: Eukaryota; Viridiplantae; Streptophyta; Magnoliopsida; Asterales; Asteraceae
Exons: 3
Source: RefSeq, a predicted model, not a curated record
UCGAUCAAGAACAGAGAACAAGGGGGAAAACCCUAGCUUCAAGAAUCAAGCAAUUGAACCUGAAAUCAAAGGAUAAUUCAAUGCAUGAACUCUAAUAUCACUCUACUGAACUCGAUUAUUGAAGUGGCAUGAAGGAAGAAGUUUCAAACACUAGGAAAUCGGAAGGCUCACAAGAUCGAGGUAAAGCCUCAACUUAAUCGGUUCGGCGACUUGGAACGAGCAUCCCUAUGUAACUCGCCUAUAAGCGCUUCCGCUACUUAUAAUAACAAACUUUUUGGUCAAAAGUAUUUUGUUGUAAUUAGUCUCUAAU